GACGAACGCUGGCGGCGUGCUUAGCACAUGCAAGUCGAACGGAAAGGCCCUGCUUUUGUGGGGUGCUCGAGUGGCGAACGGGUGAGUAACACGUGAGUAACCUGCCCUUGACUUUGGGAUAACUUCAGGAAACUGGGGCUAAUACCGGAUAGGAGCUCCUGCUGCUUGGUGGGGGUUGGAAAGUUUCGGCGGUUGGGGAUGGACUCGCGGCUUAUCAGCUUGUUGGUGGGGUAGUGGCUUACCAAGGCUUUGACGGGUAGCCGGCCUGAGAGGGUGACCGGCCACAUUGGGACUGAGAUACGGCCCAGACUCCUACGGGAGGCAGCAGUGGGGAAUAUUGCACAAUGGGCGGAAGCCUGAUGCAGCAACGCCGCGUGCGGGAUGACGGCCUUCGGGUUGUAAACCGCUUUCGCCUGUGACGAAGCGUGAGUGACGGUAAUGGGUAAAGAAGCACCGGCUAACUACGUG
Molecule: ribosomal RNA, 468 nt
Filed under: uncultured bacterium
Lineage: Bacteria
Description: partial 16S ribosomal RNA
Rfam family: Bacterial small subunit ribosomal RNA
Source: RNAcentral